This 465-nucleotide ribosomal RNA is filed under the name uncultured bacterium. RNAcentral describes it as "partial 16S ribosomal RNA". It matches the Rfam family "Bacterial small subunit ribosomal RNA", at positions 339 to 795 of the family's 1533-position model. The record is from RNAcentral.
CUACGGGUGGCAGCAGUGAGGAAUUUUGCGCAAUGGGGGGAACCCUGACGCAGCAACGCCGCGUGAGUGAUGAAGGCUUUCGGGUCGUAAAGCUCUGUCAAGUGGGAAGAACCUAUGCAGUGUUAAUAUCACUGUAUACUGACGGUACCACUGAAGGAAGCACCGGCUAACUCCGUGCCAGCAGCCGCGGUAAUACGGGGGGUGCAAGCGUUAUUCGGAAUCAUUGGGCGUAAAGGGCACGUAGGCGGCUUGGUAAGUCAGAUGUGAAAGCCCGGGGCUUAACCCCGGAAGUGCAUUUGAUACUGUCAGGCUUGAGUAUGGGAGAGGGAAGUGGAAUUCCUGGUGUAGAGGUGAAAUUCGUAGAUAUCAGGAGGAACACCGGUGGCGAAGGCGACUUCCUGGACCAAUACUGACGCUGAGGUGCGAAGGCGUGGGUAGCAAACAGGAUUAGAUACCCGCGUAGUC